AACCGGGGGAACUGAAACAUCUAAGUACCCCGAGGAAAAGAAAUCAACCGAGAUUCCGAAAGUAGCGGCGAGCGAAAUUGGACUAGCCCUUAAGCUUUACACGCGUUAGACGAACGGUCUGGAAAGUCCGACGAUACAGGGUGAUAGUCCCGUAGUUGACGACGUGUGUUCAGUGAAAUCGAGUAGGGCGGGACACGUGAUAUCCUGUCUGAAUAUGGGGGGGACCAUCCUCCAAGGCUAAAUACUACUGACUGACCGAUAGUGAACCAGUACCGUGAGGGAAAGGCGAAAAGAACCCCUGUGAGGGGAGUGAAAUAGAACCUGAAACCGUGUACGUACAAGCAGUAGGAGCAGGCUUUGUCCUGUGACUGCGUACCUUUUGUAUAAUGGGUCAGCGACUUAUAUUCAGUGGCAAGGUUAACCAUCUAGGGGAGCCGUAGGGAAACCGAGUCUUAACUGGGCGUUCAGUCUCUGGAUAUAGACCCGAAACCAGGUGAUCUAGCCAUGGGCAGGUUGAAGGUUGAGUAACAUCAACUGGAGGACCGAACCGACUAAUGUUGAAAAAUUAGCGGAUGACUUGUGGCUAGGGGUGAAAGGCCAAUCAAACCUGGAGAUAGCUGGUUCUCCCCGAAAGCUAUUUAGGUAGCGCCUCGGACGAAUACUACUGGGGGUAGAGCACUGUUAAGGCUAGGGGGUCAUCCCGACUUACCAACCCUUUGCAAACUCCGAAUACCAGUAAGUACUAUCCGGGAGACACACGGCGGGUGCUAACGUCCGUCGUGGAGAGGGAAACAACCCAGACCGCCAGCUAAGGUCCCAAAUUACUACUAAGUGGGAAACGAUGUGGGAAGGCUCAGACAGCCAGGAUGUUGGCUUAGAAGCAGCCAUCAUUUAAAGAAAGCGUAAUAGCUCACUGGUCGAGUCGGCCUGCGCGGAAGAUGUAACGGGGCUAAGUAGUAAACCGAAGCUGCGGCAAUGUGCUUUUGCACAUUGGGUAGGGGAGCGUUCUGUAAGCGGUUGAAGGUGUGUGGUAACGCAUGCUGGACGUAUCAGAAGUGCGAAUGCUGACAUGAGUAACGAUAAAGGGGGUGAAAAACCUCCUCGCCGGAAGACCAAGGGUUCCUGUCCAACGUUAAUCGGGGCAGGGUAAGUCGACCCCUAAGGCGAGGCCGAAAGGCGUAGUCGAUGGGAAACGGGUUAAUAUUCCCGUACUUCUUACAAUUGCGAUGGGGGGACGGAGAAGGCUAGGUGGGCCUGGCGACGGUUGUCCAGGUUCAAGUGCGUAGGCUUAAGAGUUAGGUAAAUCCGGCUCUUUUUAAGGCUGAGACACGACGUCGAGCAUCUACGGAUGUGAAGUCAUUGAUGCCAUGCUUCCAGGAAAAGCCUCUAAGCUUCAGAUUGUAAGGAAUCGUACCCCAAACCGACACAGGUGGUCGGGUAGAGAAUACCAAGGCGCUUGAGAGAACUCGGGUGAAGGAACUAGGCAAAAUGGUACCGUAACUUCGGGAGAAGGUACGCUCUCGACGGUGAAGUCCCUCGCGGAUGGAGCUAUUGAGAGUCGCAGAUACCAGGUGGCUGCAACUGUUUAUUAAAAACACAGCACUGUGCAAAAUCGUAAGAUGACGUAUACGGUGUGACGCCUGCCCGGUGCCGGAAGGUUAAUUGAUGGGGUUAGACUUCGGUCGAAGCUCUUGAUCGAAGCCCCGGUAAACGGCGGCCGUAACUAUAACGGUCCUAAGGUAGCGAAAUUCCUUGUCGGGUAAGUUCCGACCUGCACGAAUGGCGUAAUGAUGGCCACGCUGUCUCCACCCGAGACUCAGUGAAAUUGAAAUCGCUGUGAAGAUGCAGUGUACCCGCGGCUAGACGGAAAGACCCCGUGAACCUUUACUACAGCUUGGCACUGAACAUUGACCCUACAUGUGUAGGAUAGGUGGGAGGCUUUGAAGCACGUACGCCAGUAUGUGUGGAGCCGUCCUUGAAAUACCACCCUUGUAGUGUUGAUGUUCUAACGUCGACCCCUUAUCGGGGUUGCGGACAGUGCCUGGUGGGUAGUUUGACUGGGGCGGUCUCCUCCCAAAGAGUAACGGAGGAGCACGAAGGUGGGCUAAUCACGGUUGGACAUCAUGAGGUUAGUGCAAUGGCAUAAGCCCGCUUGACUGCGAGAAUGACAAUUCGAGCAGGUGCGAAAGCAGGUCAUAGUGAUCCGGUGGUUCUGAAUGGAAGGGCCAUCGCUCAACGGAUAAAAGGUACUCCGGGGAUAACAGGCUGAUACCGCCCAAGAGUUCAUAUCGACGGCGGUGUUUGGCACCUCGAUGUCGGCUCAUCACAUCCUGGGGCUGAAGUCGGUCCCAAGGGUAUGGCUGUUCGCCAUUUAAAGUGGUACGCGAGCUGGGUUUAGAACGUCGUGAGACAGUUCGGUCCCUAUCUGCCGUGGGCGUUGGAAGAUUGAAGGGGGCUGCUCCUAGUACGAGAGGACCGGAGUGGACGAACCUCUGGUGUUCGGGUUGUGUCGCCAGACGCAUUGCCCGGUAGCUAAGUUCGGAAUCGAUAACCGCUGAAAGCAUCUAAGCGGGAAGCGAGCCCUGAGAUGAGUCUUCCCUGAUACUUUAAGUAUCCUAAAGGGUUGUCGGAGACUACGACGUUGAUAGGUCAGGUGUGUAAGUGCUGUGAGGCAUUGAGCUAACUGAUACUAAUUGCCCGUGAGGCUUAACCAUACAACACCCAAGGGGUUU
Molecule: ribosomal RNA, 2732 nt
Filed under: Vibrio parahaemolyticus
Lineage: Bacteria; Pseudomonadati; Pseudomonadota; Gammaproteobacteria; Vibrionales; Vibrionaceae
Description: bacterial LSU rRNA
Rfam family: Bacterial large subunit ribosomal RNA
Source: RNAcentral